UUCACCCCCUCAUUCGUAUUUCUUGGAUUCCAUAAAUUGUAAGGUCAAUCGGCAUAGCGUGGAGUGCCGAGAAGAACCAGACCAUGGAGAUCACGAAGCCGCCGGAAGCAGAGGAAGGCCUGGUCAUGGACUCCUCCGUCGACUACAAGGGAAGGCUUCCCCGACGAGCCUCCACCGGCUGCUGGAAAUCUUCCCUGUUCAUCAUCGUGAUCGAGUUCGCGGAGCGGCUGAGCUACUUCGGCCUGUCCACCAAUUUGAUCAUAUACCUCACCCAGGUGCUGCGUCAAGAUCUGAAGACGGCGGUGAGGAACGUCAACUACUGGAGCGGCGUCACCGCCGUGAUCCCUCUCCUCGGCGGUUUCAUGGCUGACGCUUAUUCCGGCCGCUACGCCACCGUUGUCGCCUCCUCCCUCAUCUACAUCGUCGGCCUUCUCCUGCUCACCGUGUCCCAAGUCAUCCCCGGCCUGAAACCCUGCGACCAAGACGAGCCGGACAGUGCUGCAUGUCGCCGGUCGCUCAGCGCCCACGCGAUCGCCUUCUUCGUCGCGAUGUACCUGAUAUCCUUCGGCACAGGCGGCCACAAGCCGUCGCUGGAGAGCUUUGGCGCCGACCAGUUCGACGACAACGACGCAGUGGAGCGGCGGCAGAAGAUGUCCUUCUUCAACUGGUGGAACUUCGGGCUCUGCAGCGGGAUGAUUAUCGGCGUCACCUUCGUCGUUUAUCUGGCCGUCAACGUCGGGUGGUGGGUCGGCAGCGCCCUGCUCACCUCCAUCAUGGCGGUUAGCCUCGUGAUUUUCAUCGCAGGCCGGACGGUCUACCGAUACCGCGCGCCGGAGGGAAGCCCCUUCACGCCGAUGAUGCAGGUAGCGGUGGCUGCGAUGGCCAAGAGAAGGAUGGCUCUGCCUCCGGAUGCAAGUGAACUCUAUGAACUCCGCAAAACAGAGCAAAAGAAGAGACUCCUCUACCACACUGAUCGACUGAAAUUUCUCGACAAAGCUGCCGUCAUCGAACACAAAGGCGACGAAACCGCCUUCGCGGUGGAGAAAUCUAACCCGUGGCGGCUCGCGACGGUGACGCGAGUCGAGGAACUCAAGCUCGUCCUCUCCAUGAUCCCCGUGUGGGUCACAGCAAUGCCCUUCGGCAUGUGCGUCGUUCAAACCAACACCUUCUUCGUCAAGCAGUGCAGCAUCAGCGACCGCCGCUUCGGCCACUUCACCAUCCCCGCCGCCUCCGUCUUCUGCGUCACCGCCACCGGCAUGCUCCUCACCGUGAUCUUCUACGACAAGGUCCUCAUCCCUCUCCUCCGGCGAUCCACCGGGAGCGUCCGCGCCAUCAGCAUCCUCAAGCGCAUCGGCAUCGGCAUGACGAUCGUGACAGUGGGCAUGGCCACGGCGGCUCUGGUGGAGCGGCGCCGCCUCAAUGAGGCGGCGGAGGGAAGAAACGUGAGCCUGCUCUGGAUGCUGCCGCAGUUCUUUAUACUGGGCAUCGGCGACGGUUUCACGUUGGUGGGGCUGCAGGAGUACUUCUACGAGCAGGUGCCCGACGGCAUGCGCAGCUUGGGGAUCGCCUUCUACCUCAGCGUGCUGGGCAUCCCCAACUUCAUCUGCAAUCUGUUGAUCACAAUCGUCGAUCGGAUCACGUCCCAGGGAUCCAACGGUAGCUGGUUCGCCAAGGAUCUCAACGACAGCCGCGUGGACCUUUACUAUUGGCUCUUGGCAGCUAUUAGCUCGGCCAACUUAUGUGCUUACGUGUUCAUUGCCAAAGGAUACUCGUACAAGAGAGUUCAAAGGAAGGUGGCAGACUCCGAUUCCCAUCAAAUGGAUGCCCAAAUUUGAAUGACAGAUUUAUUAAUGAAAUCAUUAAGUCGCUACUUAUUACUAUCCUGCUGAAGAAUUUUAAAUGUAGCCGAAUAAAUCGGCCCGAUAAGCUCUCCCGUAGUGGUUAGUUGCGCUUUAUUUGAUGAUUGGUGCCCGCUAUAAAACCACCGAGGCGGCCCUCGAGGUUUUCGUUGGGUUUUGGCCGCGGCUAUCGACGCUGCGACUGGG
Molecule: RNA transcript, 2045 nt
Organism: Zingiber officinale
Lineage: Eukaryota; Viridiplantae; Streptophyta; Magnoliopsida; Zingiberales; Zingiberaceae
Gene name: protein NRT1/ PTR FAMILY 5.6-like
Exons: 4
Source: RefSeq, a predicted model, not a curated record